AAACCCCUGUCUUACCACUCACUUUGCACCUUUGGGAGAACCUCUUAACCUCUUUUCCCAAAGGUACACUGGGGGUGGCAAUACUACCUGUGUUAGCGGAAGCUUAGAUCGCGAAUUUUCUAACUUGCUUUUUCUUCUUUUUAAUAGAGGUAUUUUUUAGUAUGUCUGGGGCACCUGCGUGCCUCAGUCAGUGAAGUGUCUAAUUCUUGAUCUCAGCUCAGGUCUUGAUCUCAGGGUCAUGAGUUCGAGCCCUGAAUUGUACUGUGUAGACAGCUGGAAGCCAGUGGCUCACUGGUCUAGCUCCUUCUCCUGCCCCUUUGAACACAGAAACUUUAAGAUCUAAAGUAUCUCCACACAGGAGGGAAUUUAGUGCUGGAAGUUAGUGCUGGAUGCUUAGUGCUGGACGGUUAGUGCUGGAAGGUUAGUGCUGGAAGGUUAGUGCUGGAUGGUUACUGCUGGGAGGUUAGUGCUGGAACUUAGUGCUAGAAGGUUAGUGCUGGAGCUUAGUGCUGGAAGGUUAGUGCUGGAGCUUAGUGCUGGAACUUAGAGCUGGCAGUUAGUGCUGGAAUGGGUACAUACAGUGUUUGGUUCCCCUCGUGUCUCACCGUGUAGACGCUCACCUACUGGAACCACUGAAGACCGCAAGCCAGGAUAACCACAGGAUUUGGCGUUCAAACCGGGGCCCCCUUGAGAGUGGGAGAAGUAUAGUCAGUGAGCACGUGGGACGACGGGCGCGAACCACGACCGUCCGGAUGAACCCAGACAGACGCGGCUCCAACUUGUAGGAACCAUCCUAACAAAGGCUGCCUGUCAACCCCAGCCUCCCUCUCGUCUUGGAAAAGCUCAGUUCGUGCUCCAGCUUUGGGAGACCAGAGAUGAAUUCCCCACGCACGAGAUGCUCACGUCUACGCAGCCGGGACCGUCAGCACCCGUAGAAGGAAGAGCAGUUUCCAAAUCUUCUGAGUCGAUAAACAAACAGCCCACCGGGUAUGAAAACAAAGUGGCCAACAGGUUGGAUCACUCAGGACUCCGCGUAGCUGGCGUCCUGGGCCACGUCCAGGCAGAGAGGCACCGCCCCCCCCCCUUUCCUCCUUACAUCACAGCGGGAUGAGCAUAAUAAGCGUUCGAGAAUAAUUAGCGGAUGACACACACUGCCCCCAAGGGAUGAGGGGAUAACAGCAGAACAACAAAGCUCAAGACGAUUUCGAAACGUCGGUGGCUUUAUAAGCUUCACGAGGUAGACAGGCUGGGCCAGAACCACUCUGUGGGGCUGGUGCCCGGGCCUGCGCCACCUCUCUGAUGCCGGAGCCAACGGUGCGAGGGCAUGCUACUCGGGGAGGGCAGAUCGUUAUCUCUUCUCUCAACGAGAGCCGGGUGCUGCCCCCUCGGGAGCACAAUUAAUUAGGAAUGGAGAGAAAAGUCCGCAGGCAGAUUCCCGGGGCCGCCGAAGCCAGUCUCCAACCCUCUGUGAUACAAACAAAUGCCUUAAAAGAAUCAAGGUCAUAAGGGAAGAGGAAGGCAAGGAACAUAAGCAGGUGAGCAGGAACCAUAAGGAAACACCACCAACGUCUGAUGUGGGGCCUCUGUCCCGAGGGGACUCACAGGUGGCCCGAGAUGCCCACUGCCACGCCAGUGGAACCUGACGGUCUGAGUUUAGCAGACGUACAGUGAGAGGUUUAUUGUCUUACUCGGACAAAAGGUUCUCCGUGGAUGUUCCAGACAGGAAGGGCCAACGUAGCGGUUAGGUCCCUCAGUGCCACAGGUGCCUCUAUAAUUUAAUUCCUGCGCACUCAGUGAAAAUUCAUGUGGAGCAGAUGAGAACUGUUGGGCUCUAGGAAGCCUACGCUAUACCUCUUUGUCAACAGAGACAGACGUGCACGUCGGCCGAGUUUAUAUACCUGGGUCAGUGCAUGUUAACCGGGGCCCCUGCCUCGACCGCGCGGAGCAGAGCAAACCGGCCGCGUGGUGACCCUGAUGCCCGGGCACACCUGUCUGCUGUACUGAGAGGGCAGAAAACGAGGCGUAGCGCACACAGGGCCCCGUGCAACCUAGGUGACCUGCCGUCUUAUGCCACCUUGGGGGAUAAAGCCUGCACCCAAUCGACCUCACCCUGCCGCUUUGCGCUAACGGCGGCCGAAGAGCAAACUGGGCAAGACCGAAUGGGUCCGAGACACGUACGCAAGUCUCCAUACAUCUGUUCCGCACAUUUAGACGGUUAUGGCGUACCCCUCGAAAUUAGCUCUUGAAUGCUCUAGACCCCAAAGCUGUAUCUCCAUCUGGGCCACGAUACUCAAGUCUACUGAUUUUGUGCCAGCGUGUGUAGUCCCUGCAGGGCCCAGAGAAUCAAUCGCUCAACCCCAAUUGGAACCGCUGUCCUUGAUGUGGACCAGCCUUAGAAGUUACUACAUCUGUUAGCAAUUUAUUUGGAAAACAGGAAAACCUCAACUAAAGCCGUGUUUGUUAAUUGCUGUAUCAAUCAUUAUUUUUGCAGAACGGUUUCUGUGUAGGCUAACCAGCCCCAAGGGACAAUUUUGCAGAUUUUCCAACAGAACAAACGCUCUAAAUUAGUGAAAUGCUUUAAUGGUUUAAUUGUACAAACCAUCAAAUACCUUAUCCCCACACUUUGGACAAAUAUAAUGACUGCUUACAAAUUA
Molecule: long non-coding RNA, 2654 nt
Organism: Leopardus geoffroyi (Geoffroy's cat)
Lineage: Eukaryota; Metazoa; Chordata; Mammalia; Carnivora; Felidae
Exons: 2
Source: RefSeq, a predicted model, not a curated record